CCUACGGGGGGCUGCAGUGGGGAAUAUUGCGCAAUGGGGGAAACCCUGACGCAGCGACGCCGCGUGAGCGAAGAAGGCCUUAGGGUUGUAAAGCUCUGUUUUAGGGGACGAAAGCUAUAGGGAGAAAAAUGCCCUGUAAAUGACGGUACCCUAAGAGGAAGCCCCGGCUAACUACGUGCCAGCAGCCGCGGUAAGACGUAGGGGGCGAGCGUUGUCCGGAAUUACUGGGCGUAAAGAGCACGUAGGCGGGAACUUAAGUCAGGUGUGAAAGACCGUGGCUCAACCACGGGUAUGCAUUUGAAACUGGGUUUCUUGAGGGCAGGAGAGGAAAGCAGAAUUCCUGGUGUAGCGGUGAAAUGCGUAGAAAUCAGGAGGAAUACCAGUGGCGAAGGCGGCUUUCUGGACUGACCCUGACGCUGAGGUGCGAAAGCGUGGGUAGCAAACAGGAUUAGAUACCCUAGUAGUC
Molecule: ribosomal RNA, 466 nt
Filed under: uncultured bacterium
Lineage: Bacteria
Description: bacterial SSU rRNA
Rfam family: Bacterial small subunit ribosomal RNA
Source: RNAcentral